GAGCAAUCUUGGUGUUCUUGCCUGGUUGGGACAAUAUCAGUACUCUCAAUGACCUUCUCAUGGCUCAGCAAAUGUUCCGAUCAGACCGGUUUGUUAUCAUCCCUUUACACUCCCUCAUGCCAACUGUUAACCAGACACAGGUUUUUAAAAGGCCUCCUCCUGGAGUUCGAAAGAUUGUGAUUGCUACCAAUAUAGCUGAGACCAGG
Long non-coding RNA from Pundamilia nyererei, 206 nucleotides. RefSeq lists it as uncharacterized. The transcript has 3 exons. Lineage: Eukaryota; Metazoa; Chordata; Actinopteri; Cichliformes; Cichlidae. The record is from RefSeq and is a predicted model, not a curated record.